Molecule: transfer RNA, 83 nt
Filed under: Caudoviricetes sp.
Lineage: Duplodnaviria; Heunggongvirae; Uroviricota; Caudoviricetes
Description: tRNA-Ser
Source: RNAcentral
GAUGUUUUUAUUAUAAUUCAAAAUUGGAAAUCAUGUUGCCGGCGAAUACCGGCACGGGGGUUCGAAUCCCCCUCUCUCCGCCA